GCGUUGUCCGGAAUCACUGGGCGUAAAGGGCGCGUAGGCGGCCUGAUAAGUAGGGGGUGAAAUCUUGCGGCUCAACCGCAAGGCUGCCUUCUAAACUGUCAGGCUGGAGCACGGUAGAGGCAGAUGGAAUUCCCGGUGUAGCGGUGGAAUGCGUAGAGAUCGGGAAGAACACCAGUGGCGAAGGCGGUCUGCUGGGCCGUUGCUGACGCUGAGGCGCGACAGCGUG
RNAcentral lists this ribosomal RNA (226 nucleotides) under uncultured bacterium. RNAcentral describes it as "partial 16S ribosomal RNA". It matches the Rfam family "Bacterial small subunit ribosomal RNA", at positions 538 to 763 of the family's 1533-position model. The record is from RNAcentral.